AAUGUGUUUUGUUAUUAAAAAUGUUUCUGUUACUAUUGUUCUCUUGUGUUUCUGUUGCUAAGGAUCAUCCCGUGUAAUUACAUUUUUAAAAAUUACCUCUCGUUGAAGUGUAACUUGUGUUCAACGAGCUAGAGAGAAAGAGGCAGACGUAAUGAAACGAGAUUUAUUUGUCAUAUGUUCCUUCCUGUAUAUUACAAUGUAUACCGCACAGUAUAUAUAGCUUGUGUCAAUUGGUAUCGGAACAACCACGAGGAUAGUCGGGGAUAUUUUCUAGGUAUUUCUUCCUCAUCCCCUGGGAUACUGAUUGUCCUGGAGACGGUGACGAUGACAAAGGUGUAUCUGUUAAACUGGAGGUUUUUAAAAAGAAAUUCUAGAAGCAAUGCCAUAAUGCUGCUUUGGUGAAUUAUUGAAGUGCCGGUUCUCCUCCAUCCAUCUUCGUACAGUGACAAAAGACAUUUAAUUGGAGGGAAUUAAAAUUAAAAAACUAGACAUAUGGUUGAAAUUUGGUACGAGAUUAAGUUAGAAGCUAAAUUUGUGAAUAAUUACGAGGCAAGAUAUGUAUCAAUAAGUCAUGAACGAUGGAACAAAGGAGGUUCCCAGAAUGUUUCAGUUUCCUCAUGACAGGAAUGAUCGAAGAACUUGAUAUGAAAGAAGUGAAACCAAAGACUCCCAGAUAUGGACUACCCUUUUUUAAAUUAAACCCGG
Long non-coding RNA from Aethina tumida (small hive beetle), 705 nucleotides. RefSeq lists it as uncharacterized. The record is from RefSeq and is a predicted model, not a curated record. The transcript has 5 exons. Lineage: Eukaryota; Metazoa; Arthropoda; Insecta; Coleoptera; Nitidulidae.